RNAcentral lists this long non-coding RNA (823 nucleotides) under Homo sapiens (human). Its description in RNAcentral is "long intergenic non-protein coding RNA 1182". The record is from RNAcentral. Lineage: Eukaryota; Metazoa; Chordata; Mammalia; Primates; Hominidae.
AGACCAGGAAAGUGAAAGGAAAUGGAUAUCGCUGCUGGAGGCAACGACUAAUUUAAGCAGAGUAGGAGAAAAACUCUUUUUUUUUUUCCUUUGUGCCAGUUCCUUUUACACGACUUCAGAACAUUCUAUGACAACCCAGCGUGCAACUUGGCACUGUCAGAAGAGUCCUGGGAAAGAAAGGAAAUGCGUUUUUCAGAACUUUACUAGGGGUAGUUGAUCCAAAUGGCAUUAUUGGAUGUGGUGGUUUCCGGACACCCACCUGUGACACUGCGGUGACCGGUCUCCUGUCUGGCCUGAAGUGGAUCUGGACCCCACACAGUCCCCAUGUACAGCUGAUACCAGGCUGAAGUGGAUCAGGAGGCUGAGGAACUAAGCCAGUGUCAGGUGGUGCACCAGGCUGCCCAAGUGGAGGCUUAGAUGAACACAGGAUGAUUAUGGAGCAAUACUUGAAGCCCAAAUGAAGCUCUGAACCCGGAGACUUCUCAAAACCUGUCAUCAAUGCUCUAACUCUUCUGUGGCCACCUCCUUCUACUGGAGUUUAGCCAGGUUCCAACUCUAUGGGUAUAUCUCAGUCAUUUAGCAUCUGCUCUAUCUUUGAGGCUGAGUUUCCAGAAGACCUGAUUCAACCAGAAGCAAAAGACAGUAGCCAAGAAGAUGGCAUAGCAUAAGAAUCUUGGAAAUUGAUAAAAACAUCCCAGAGAUAUCCAACAAAAUUAGUAACUAUGUGAAGAGAUUCUGUAAUAUUGGGUCUAUUGGGCUCUGUGGGAAGGUAUUCCCUUUGGAAAUGACUGAAAUGGAAAUUUUGAACCACUUUCAAUGAUAC